RNAcentral lists this ribosomal RNA (468 nucleotides) under uncultured bacterium. RNAcentral describes it as "partial 16S ribosomal RNA". It matches the Rfam family "Bacterial small subunit ribosomal RNA", at positions 28 to 507 of the family's 1533-position model. The record is from RNAcentral.
GACGAACGCUGGCGGCGUGCUUAACACAUGCCAGUCGAACGGAAAGGCCCUGCUUUUGUGGGGUGCUCGAGUGGCGAACGGGUGAGUAACACGUGAGUAACCUGCCCUUGACUUUGGGAUAACUUCAGGAAACUGGGGCUAAUACCGGAUAGGAGCUCCUGCUGCAUGGUGGGGGUUGGAAAGUUUCGGCGGUUGGGGAUGGACUCGCGGCUUAUCAGCUUGUUGGUGGGGUAGUGGCUUACCAAGGCUUUGACGGGUAGCCGGCCUGAGAGGGUGACCGGCCACAUUGGGACUGAGAUACGGCCCAGACUCCUACGAGAGGGAGCAGUGGAAAGUAUUGCACAAUGGGCGGAGGCCUGAUGCAGCAACGCCGCGUGCGGGAUGACGGCCUUCGGGUUGUAAACCGCUUUCGCCUGUGACGAAGCGUGAGUGACGGUAAUGGAUAAAGAAGCACCGGCUAACUACGUG